AUGGAGAUCACGAGCAGCACGAUGGUGAAGCCGGUGUGCUCGGUGCCGCACCCGCUCGUCGGCGAGAAGGUCCCGCUGACCGUCUUCGACCGUGCCGCCGCGGACGCCUUCAUCCCCACCGUGCUCGUGUACCCCGGGCCGGCGCCGUCCAACGAGGCGGUCAAGGAAGGACUCCUCAAGGCUAUCACAGCAUACCCACACCUGGCAGGGCGCCUCGCCCUCGACGAUCAUGGCCGGCGCUUCCUCCACGUCAACAACGAGGGCGUGUUCCUGAUCGAGGCCACCGUGCCGGUCGACCUCGCGGACGUGCUCGUCGACGGCCGCAUGGCCGCAGAUGUGGAGGACCCCUACCCUACGAUACCAGAGGAGAGCUUUGGGGUGGCGCUGCUGCAGAUCCAGCUCAACAGGUACAGGUGCGAUGGUCUCGUGGUCGGCAUAUGCUCCCACCAUCAGGCCGCCGACGGCCACUCCAUGAGCAUGUUCUUCACCGCGUGGGCGACGGCGGUGCGCGAGGGUAAGGACUUCACCACGCCGACCCCAUUCCUCGACCGUGCGAGAACGUCCGUGCCUCGAAGCACGCCAACGCCGGUGUUCAACCACCGAUCACUGGAGUUCACGUGUGGAGACCGAGACGCCUACGCCGUCGUCCCCAUGGACAGGAUCAAAAACCUAACGGUGCACUUCACGGCCGAGUUCGUCGCCGACCUCAAAGCCCGCGUCGGCGCCCGCUGCAGCACGUUCCAGUGCCUCCUCGCGCACGUCUGGAAGAAAAUCACGGCGGCGCGGGAGCUGAAGCCGGAGGAGUUCACCAAGGUGAGGGUGGCCGUGAACUGCAGGGGCAGGGCUAGCCCGCCCGUGCCGAUGGACUUCUUCGGGAACAUGGUGCUCUGGGCUUUCCCAAGGCUUCAGGUCCGGGACGUCCUGAGCUCGAGCUACGGCAGCGUGGUCGGCGCCAUCCGCGACGCCGUGGCACGCAUCGACGACGAGUACGUGCAGUCCUUCGUGGACUUCGGCGGAGUGGCGGACGCGAACGGGGAGGAGCUCGUCGCGACGGCGGCCGCUGCCGGCACC
RNAcentral lists this ribosomal RNA (1071 nucleotides) under Triticum aestivum (bread wheat). Its description in RNAcentral is "partial small subunit ribosomal RNA". Lineage: Eukaryota; Viridiplantae; Streptophyta; Magnoliopsida; Poales; Poaceae. The record is from RNAcentral.